RNAcentral lists this ribosomal RNA (468 nucleotides) under uncultured bacterium. RNAcentral's name for it is "partial 16S ribosomal RNA". It matches the Rfam family "Bacterial small subunit ribosomal RNA", at positions 28 to 507 of the family's 1533-position model. The record is from RNAcentral.
GACGAACGCUGGCGGCGUGCUUAACACAUGCAAGUCGAACGGAAAGGCCCUGCUUUUGUGGGGUGCUCGAGUGGCGAACGGGUGAGUAACACGUGAGUAACCUGCCCUUGACUUUGGGAUAACUUCAGGAAACUGGGGCUAAUACCGGAUAGGAGCUCCUGCUGCAUGGUGGGGGUUGGAAAGUUUCGGCGGUUGGGGAUGGACUCGCGGCUUAUCAGCUUGUUGGUGGGGUAGUGGCUUACCAAGGCUUUGACGGGUAGCCGGCCUGAGAGGGUGACCGGCCACAUUGGGACUGGGAUGCGGCCCAGACUCCUACGGGAGGCAGCAGUGGAGAAGAGUGCACAAUGGGCGGAAGCCUGAUGCAGCAACGCCGCGUGCGGGAUGACGGCCUUCGGUUUGUAAACCGCUUUCGCCUGUGACGAAGCGUGAGUGACGGUAAUGGGUAAAGAAGCACCGGCUAACUACGUG